CCGUUGUCCCCCGGGUGCUCGCCGCCGCAGCCAUGGGCAACUGCUACACGGUGGGACCCAACGAGGCGCUGGUGGUGUCAGUGGUUGGUGUUUAUCACUCCUCCCCCACUUUGGGCAGUGCCUGUGCCUCUCCUCUGACGUUUUCUGUGACCCCCACGCUGGGAACCAGGGGUAGCAAAAAAUCGAAGACAUGCAAGCCCCCUCAAAGGCUUUCUCUGGGGGCUGUUUCAGUCCAGAUGCGAAGAAGUAUGUGUUUGGAGGCUGGGCCUGGGCCUGGUGGUUCAUCUCAGAUACACAGAGGAUUUCCCUAGAGAUAAUGACGUUGCAGCCCCGUUGCGAGGACGUAGAGACGGCCGAGGGGGUAGCUUUAACUGUGACGGGUGUCGCCCAGGUGAAAAUCAUGACUGAGAAUGAGCUGUUAGCUGUGGCCUGCGAACAGUUCCUGGGGAAAAAUGUCCAUGACAUCAAGAAUGUGGUGCUGCAGACCCUCGAGGGCCACCUGCGAUCCAUCUUAGGGACCCUGACGGUGGAGCAGAUCUACCAGGACCGGGACCAGUUUGCCAAGCUGGUGAGGGAAGUGGCUGCUCCCGAUGUCGGUCGCAUGGGCAUUGAGAUCCUUAGCUUCACCAUCAAGGAUGUGUAUGAUAAAGUGAAUUACCUGAGCUCCCUGGGCAAGUCACAGACUGCCCAGGUCCAGAGAGACGCAGACAUCGGAGUGGCGGAGGCAGAGCGAGACGCGGGCAUCAGGGAAGCUGAGUGCAAGAAGGAGAUGCUGGACAUGAAGUUCCUGGCGGACACAUACAUCGCCGAUUCCAAACGCUCCUUCGAGCUGAAGAAGUCGGCCUUCACCGAGGAAGUCAGCAUCAAGACGGCCGAGGCGCAGCUGGCCUACGAGCUGCAGGCUGCCAAGGAGCAGCAGAAGAUCCGGCAGGAGGAGCUGGAGAUCGAGGUGGUACAGAGGAAGAAACAGAUCGAUGUGGAGGAGCAGGAGAUCCUCCGGACUGCCAAGGAGCUGGUGUCCACCAUCCGGCAGCCCUCAGAGGCUGAGGCCCACCGCAUCCAGCAGAUUGCUGAGGGAGAGAAGGUGAAGAAGGUCCUCCUGGCCCAGGCAGAAGCGGAGAAGAUUCGGAAGAUAGGGGAGGCAGAAGCCAUGGUGAUCGAGGCCCUGGGGAAGGCCGAGGCUGAGCGGAUGAAGCUCAGGGCUGAGGCCUACCAGCAGUAUGGCCACGCUGCCAAGCUGUCCCUCGUGCUCGAUGCCCUCCCCGUCGAUUGCUGCCAAAGUGGCUGCCCCACUGACCAAAGUUGACGAAGUCGUGGUGCUCAGCGGUGACAACAGCAAGGUCACAAACGAGGUGACUCGCCUGCUCGCGGAGCUGCCGGCUUCCGUUCAUGCUCUCACUGGGGUGGACCUGUCCAAGAUCCCUCUGGUCCAGAAGGCGGCCGGGACCCUGGGCUGAGGAGCCUCACCCUGCCCCCUCCCCGCCCUCCUACAAGGAUUUUCCUACCCAGGGACAAUAGAAGUUUUACUGACUCUGGUGCCUGAUUUUGUGGGGGCCACGAGUGAGGCCAAGCUCAGUCCAUCCCCGUCAGUCUGUCUUGUCGUCCUCUGCUUCCUUUCUUCUUGUCCUCUUCUCCACCUGUCUCUUCCUCCUCCUCUGUUCUUUGUCUCUUGUGUUUGUGUGUGUGCACACUCUUUCCUCACCUCCACCAAUCAUAGUUUAAGCUAAGGAUGUUUGCAAUCACUGUUUGUCUCUGGGGAGCGGCCUGGCCGCUCCUCACAAUCCUGGUGCCUUGAAGUUCCUUGGCCAUCCUUUUGACCACCCUGUGGCACUAGCCAGGGUGCAGCACGCAGGAGGAGGGUGGCCUGGGCCAGGGAGGCCUGGAGUUGUUCUGCCUGCCCCUGGGAAGCCAAGGCCUCUUGAGCUUCUGGGCCAGAGACGUCAUGCUGCCUGGUACCCUCGCACUCCAGCCAGCCGUCCGGGGUGAGGAGCCUGCUGCUUUGUAAAGGCUCUUCUGACUCACCUGUCAAACCGCAGCUUUCUACAAUCUCUCCUCUCCCCGGGAGAACAGUGGAGAUGCCUUUUGUUUUUCCAGCUGCCAGAAUCCAUUAUUGGGUAUGGGUUGUUGGGAGGCCAAAGGAGGGGCAGGCCACCCCCCGUCCUCCUCAGGGGCUUCACCUUGCCCAGUACUGUACCAAGAGGAGGAGGAGGCUGUCUGGGUCGGCGUGCAUGUCCCUCCCUCCUAACUCAGGGUUGCCUCCUGCUUGGGCAUGACCCGGGGACAGGGAGUGGGCAGAAGGAGGUUCCCUACUGGCUGAAGGUUCAGUCCAUGCACUAGGCCGGACUAAGCCCAGGGCUACCUGCCCAGGGAAGGGCCGUGGGAGAGGGGAGCUGGCUAAUCUCCCGCCCCUUUGCAUCCCAGUGGGUGGAUGGAUAUUUGCCACCACUGGCCAGAUUCCAGGGUUGCUGGGCCCGAGGUGCUGCCCUUUGCCCAGGCCUCCACAUUCCUCAUGCCACCUUACUUUUUAACCCUUCCACGGGACAUGUCCCAGGCUCCAUAUUCUUGUUCCUUCUGCUCAAUGCUCAGGAGCCUGUCCUAGAAAACCCAUAAAAGUUCCUCCCAGCUUGUAUGUUCCGAGAGCCGUUGAUGGGGCAAGGAGCUCACCUUCCUCCUCCUAGCUUGUCCCCAAAUCCCAGGGGCCCUCGCUCUUCGCCAAAAGAGAGAAGGCGGAGAGACGGUUGGCCAGAGGCUGGGCCAGGUGUAUCAUCGAGUGUUAUGGGGUGGACUGAGCUGAGGAGGGCACCAGCUGGGAGCAUGGAAGAAGCUGCCUAGGCGUGGGGUGCUGUGGGCAUCCCGUCUGGGCACAGGCUCAACCCUACGUGGCAGGCUGCCGGCCUGUGUCACUGUCUGUGCAUGCGAGUGCUGCAUGUCUGGCCUGGGCCCUGCUCCCUUCCCUCUGCUAUAAUAAAGACUCCUUGCACCCAA
This is a non-coding RNA of Phascolarctos cinereus (koala), 2985 nucleotides long. NCBI's taxonomy places the organism in Eukaryota, Metazoa, Chordata, Mammalia, Diprotodontia, Phascolarctidae. The record is from RefSeq and is a predicted model, not a curated record.